This 492-nucleotide ribosomal RNA is filed under the name uncultured bacterium. Its description in RNAcentral is "partial 16S ribosomal RNA". It matches the Rfam family "Bacterial small subunit ribosomal RNA", at positions 29 to 507 of the family's 1533-position model. The record is from RNAcentral.
AGUGAACGCUGGCGGCAGGCCUAACACAUGCAAGUCGAACGGCAGCACGGUAAGUGCUUGCUGUUGCCGGUGGCGGGUCGCGGGAGGAUGACGACUGCAUCGGACUCUACUUUUUCGUUAGGGCUAACGAAGGGGGACUUACACCAAUAACGCAUACGACCUAAGAGCGAGAGCCCGGCAUCUUCCGCCCUUGCGCGUUUGCCUGUGGCGAUUUCGGAUUAGCUAGUUGGAGGGGUAAAGGCCUACCAAGGCGACGAUCUGUAGCUGGUCUGAGAGGACGACCAGCCACACUGGAACUGAGACACGGCCCAGACUCCUACGGGAGGCAGCAGUGGGGAAUUUUGGACAAUGGGCGAAAGCCUGAUCCAGCCAUGCCGCGUGUGUGAAGAAGGCCUUCGGGUUGUAAAGCCCUUUUGUUGGGAAAGAAAAGCUUCAGGUUAAUACGGUGCUGGGAUGACGGUACCGAAAGAAUAAGCACCGGCUAACUACGUG